UACGGAGGGGGCUAGCGUUGUCCGAAGUUACUGGGCGUAAAGCGCGCGUAGGCGGGUUGGUAAGUCCGCUGUGAAAACCCGAAGCUCAACUUCGGGCCUGCAUCCGAAACUGCCCGACUAGAGGUAGGUAGGGGAGAUCGGAAUUCCUGGUGUAGCGGUGAAAUGCGCAGAUAUCAGGAGGAACACCGGUGGCGAAGGCGGAUCUCUGGGCCUUACCUGACGCUCAGGUGCGAAAGCUAGGGGAGCGAACAGG
RNAcentral lists this ribosomal RNA (253 nucleotides) under uncultured bacterium. Its description in RNAcentral is "partial 16S ribosomal RNA". It matches the Rfam family "Bacterial small subunit ribosomal RNA", at positions 524 to 776 of the family's 1533-position model. The record is from RNAcentral.